UGAUCAAGGGCCGCGGGCAGCGCCGGAGCGCAGCGCCCGUCUGAUGCUGCCCGCCCAGAGGCCCCGUCGAACAAAGGCAGCAUUGAGGCCCCGAGCUGCGUCCCCAAGCCCGGACCCCCCCUCUGGGCUGGCAUCUUGGCGCGACAUUAAUGAACUCGCCUGUUUGUGCUCCCCUGGCCCCUCUCUCCUCCCACCACCCGGGGGGCACUGUAUAUAUCCGCGCCUCCUCGCCCGCCUCGGGCACUUUAGGGCUCACACCCUAAAACCUUUGCCUGGCUGGGAUCGAGCAAGGAGGGAAGAGGAUGUGGGGUGCUGUCCCCAUGGUCCACCUGUCCUCCCCCGUGAUGCUGCUGCUCCUACAGCUGGCUGGGGGUGCUCCCAUGGGCCAGGGGCUGUACCCCAUGCCAGCUAGCGUCCUGCAAGCACUGUCGAGCCGGGGGACGCUGGUGUUGGAAGCAGCACUGAGGAGCGCGCUGCUGGCACUGGAGCAGGCACUGGCUGAGCAGCAGAAGCAACGGGGUGCCUGUGGGCUCUGUGCUCCCUGCCUCUUCCCUCCCUGUGCCAACAUCACCCGAAGCUGCCCACCCCCUGCCAUGCCCCUUGCCGUGCCCCCCAGCUGCCAGGCCCUGCUGGAUGCCCAGGAUCUGCCCGAACUGCCCCAACGCCACUGGGCUCUGAGCCAGGCGUGUGCCUCCUACCUGCGCCUGUGCCCCCCCCAGGGCACUCAGCCUGCCUGCACCCUGCUCAGUGCCCAGCGCUGCCAGCACCGCCUCCAGGAGUGCCUGCUGGCGAAGGCAGCCCCAGAUCCCAGCAUAGCAGCAACGAUGCCAGAGCGCUGCGGGAGCCGGGCGGACCCCUCCAUCAACAGCACAGCCCCACGAGGACGCAUCAUGGGCGGCAGCGUGGCCCGGCGCGGGGCUUGGCCAUGGCUGGUGUCGGUGCGGCUGCACGGGGAGCUGGUGUGCGGUGGGGUGUUGGUGAGCCACACGUGGGCCCUCACUGCUGCCCACUGCUUCAACGGGAACCAGAAUGAGCUGGCAUGGACGGUGGUGGUGGGUGACCACGAGCUGGGCAAGGCGGACCCUGGGGAGCGGGCAGUGCCUGUGCGACGCAUCGUGCCUCACCCCAAGUUCAAUCCCAAGACGUUUCAUGGGGACUUGGCGCUGCUGGAGCUGGCAGAGCCACUGGCACCAUCAGGCACCGUGAGCCCCGUGUGCCUGCCCAGUGGUACCACCGAGCCCAGGCCCGGCACCCCCUGUCACAUUGUGGGCUGGGGGUCCCUGUAUGAAGAGGGGCCGUCGGCAGAGGUGGUGAUGGAGGCACAGGUGCCCCUGCUCAGCCAGGAGACGUGUCGGGCAGCUCUGGGCAGAGAGCUGCUCACCAGCGCCAUGUUCUGUGCUGGAUAUCUGUCUGGGGGCAUCGAUUCCUGCCAGGGUGACUCGGGUGGUCCACUGGUGUGUCAGGACCCCUCCUCGUACCGCUUUGUCCUGUAUGGCAUCACCUCGUGGGGUGAUGGCUGUGGUGAGCGGGGUAAGCCAGGUGUCUACACUCGCGUGGCUGCCUUUGCCGACUGGCUCAGCCUGCAGAUGGACUCUGUUCCUGGCAGCUGGGAGCCAAGCUGCUUUGACCUGCUGGCCCUGUCCCAGCUGCCCCCUGAGCAGCAGCCCCUCGAGCACACCCGUCUCUGCUCCUUCUAUGCGGGGUCCUGCCGGGCUGCCCCAGGCCAAGCCAGCUGCACACACCUUGCCAAUGAGACGUGCCGUGCCCGGAUGAGGCGAUGCGAGCUGCAUUCCUACGCCCAGACUCUGGUGGGUCUCCUGCGCCGGGCUGGGGAUUUCAUCCGAAACCAGCUUGACUUCUCUUUCCUCACCCGCACCCUGCCCCAGCUCCUGGGCAAGAUCUAUGGUCAUCUCUUCCCUGUCCGCAUCCGUAGAGGUGCCCCAGACCCAGUGAUGGUCGAGCACCCCACAUCUGAGGGACCCCUGAGACCAACCCACAGGCAGCUGCCCACCUUCAGGGAGUUUUUUGGGUCUGUGGGGCCGCGGCUGCAGGACUGGGUGCAGGCUCUGAGGGCCACAGUGGGGGGCAGCACUCUGACACCCACCCCAGAUGGGGAGCAGCUCCCUGAGGAGACAUGGCUCUUCUUACAGCAGGGUGAGGAGCUGGUGAAGGAGCUGGUGGGACAGGGCAGAGCCUUCCUCACUCAGCUCCGGGCAGAGAUGGACCUUGACACACCGUUGGAGGCCAUGCAGGCACUCAGAGAGCCAACUGGAGAGCCAGUUGGGAACCUUGUGCAGAACUGGGCAUUGCACAGAGAGAAACGAGAGCUGGUGCCCACAAUGCCGGGGCUGGAGGAAGAGGGGCAGGAGGCAGGCACAGGCAGAGUUGCAGCUUGCCCCGGCCUCAAUGCUUCUGCACUGCGGGUUGGCGUGGUGCAGGAGCUCUACGCCUGGGUGCUGCAGGUGCCAGAGCCAGAUCUGGCCAUGACCUUCCAGGAGAUCCUGGUGGACCUGAGCUCCAAAAACACCAAGGGGUUGUACCGGGCGCAGGUGCGGGCCACGGUGGGCGGCCGGCCCACGGCUUUUGCUGGGCUGGUGGGGCUGGAGAGCGACUCGCUGGCACGCAGCAUGCCUGGCCUCGUGGCCUUGGCACUUGAGGCUCUGAAAACCUAGGGGUGCUGGCAGGGGAUGAGGAAUGACUCCUGUUCCCCAUGCACACCUCUUAUUUAUUUGUACAGAGAAAGGUUUAUUUUUCAAUAAAGAAAGGCUCUAUUUUCUGGUAGCUGGUGAGGAUGAAACAAGUGACGUGCCGAGCGGUGCCAGUGAGAGAACAGCACCCUGUGCCAUCCCAGUGAGGACCCUCACCAAAGCUCACACCAGUGUCAGACCACAUGUGCCAUAGGCACUGAUUAGGUGCCAGCACCUCCACGUCUCCCAGCAGCAUCUGCUGAGCAGUGAAGGGACUGCUCCUCCAAGCACUCAGGUGACAAGAUGGCACUGAGGGGUGGUGAGCCCAGCUGUUCCUGCCUGUCUCCCUUCUCUGGGCGUGGGGGUGCCGGAAGCAGGGGGGCCAGAGUGGGUAUCCGGAGCCGGCAGCCUUCCCCCCAGCACCUGGCACCAUCCAUCUCUGCGGCCGGACAUCCGCUCAGGCAGGCCAAGCAGGGAGGUGGCGAGGAGCUGGCACAGCACGAAGGCACCGCAGGCACCGCAUGGGGGACAUGGCAGUGCUGCUGGCCUUGUUUGGGGCACUGGUGCUGUCGGGUGAGCGGAGCCGUGGGGUUUGGGUACAAGGAUGCUGGGGGUCACUGCAGUGAGGUUGGGGCUGGGGUGGUGGUGUCUGUGUCCCAGAUGAGCACACGUGUAUCCUUAUAUGUCCUAGUCUAUGUCCAUGUGUGCAUCUACCCCCAUGCCCUAUGCCACGGCUUCUGCACUGGCAUCUUGUACUAGUUUGUCUCUACAUGUCUCUAUAUCCAUGUGUUUGUAUAUCCCUGUGUUUGUGUCCGUGCAUGCAUAUGUGUCCUCAUAAGUGUGCCAUUCCUGUGCACACGCACCACAUCUGGGUGCCCAUCU
RNA transcript from Tympanuchus pallidicinctus (lesser prairie-chicken), 3569 nucleotides. It is a transcript of the gene named cholinergic receptor nicotinic delta subunit, with no coding region annotated. The transcript has 18 exons. NCBI's taxonomy places the organism in Eukaryota, Metazoa, Chordata, Aves, Galliformes, Phasianidae. The record is from RefSeq and is a predicted model, not a curated record.